Molecule: long non-coding RNA, 330 nt
Organism: Hydractinia symbiolongicarpus
Lineage: Eukaryota; Metazoa; Cnidaria; Hydrozoa; Anthoathecata; Hydractiniidae
Exons: 2
Source: RefSeq, a predicted model, not a curated record
UUUAAGCUUUUUUGUUGCUGUGCUUUUUCUGGAGAUUUUAGUUGGAUUGGAAAGCUCCUGUUUAAGGUACCCUUUCCUAAAGAAAAAUUGAAGUAAUUUGUACAAUUAUAACGCGCCGAGCUGUGUUUUAUGUUAUUGUUUCUAAGAAGAUGUAAGAAUACAAUAUUAUCAAUUUUAAUUGGUUUUAUCCAAAUCAAGAUUGUGUACAAUGGGAGUGAGUGAUGUAAUCUUCUAAUGCGUGUGGUGAAAAGAAGGCGAAUCCGUUAUUGUUUUUCUGCCCAAAUUUAAAGCUAUUUAAUAAAUCUUGAUAAAGUUAAAAAACUGUUUUGA